Molecule: ribosomal RNA, 1535 nt
Filed under: Hirsutella minnesotensis
Lineage: Eukaryota; Fungi; Ascomycota; Sordariomycetes; Hypocreales; Ophiocordycipitaceae
Also listed under: 1 other name
Description: SSU rRNA
Rfam family: Bacterial small subunit ribosomal RNA
Source: RNAcentral
AAAAAAAAGAGUUUGGUGAUGGCUCUGAUUGAACACUGUCCAAGUGCUUGACACAUGCUAAUCGUACGUUUUAAUGAGUAGUUUAACUACAACUUAAAAAGUGGUGUACAGGUGAGUAGUUAGAUAUUGUUCGCCGGCCUUAAAGAGAAGGGUAAAGAUCCUUCAUAAAAAAUAAAGGGAUAAAUUUCCGCUUUAAGAGGACAAUAAAUAUCUUCGAGAUAGGUAGUAGUUAAGGUGAUGGCUUAACUAGCCGACAAGUCUCGUAGUCGAAUCUGAAAGGAUGAUCGACCACAUUGGGUCUGAAAAAAACCCAAUGCAUAUUAAGUACAGCAGUGAGGAAUUUUGGUCAAUGGCCUAACGGCUGAACUGGCAACUUGGAGAAGUGAUAAGUCCUAAUUUGAUGAUAUCUUAGUUUGCUAACAAUAUGAUUAUAUAUUAGCUUACUAAGAAUAUGAUCUAUAGGAUUGUAUUAAAAUAGAAUAAAGCUUUGUUUAUAUAUUGAUAAUGACAAUAUAUAUAUAAUGUCUUGACUAAUUACGUGCCAGCAGUCGCGGUAAUACGUAAGAGACAAGUGUUAUUCAUGUUAAUUAGGUUUAAAGGGUACGUAGACGGUCAAUAUAACUUGUAUAAUGUAAGUACUUGACUAGAGUUUUAUAUGAGAGGAGAGUACUUUAGGAGAAGAGAUUAAAUUCUAUGAUACCAAAGGGACUCGGUAAAGGCGAAGGCACUCCUUUAUGUAAAAACUGACGUUGAGGGACGAAGGCACAGAGAACAAAAAGGAUUAGAUACCCAAGUAGUCUUUGCAGUAAAUGAUGAAUGCCAAAGAUUAGAUAUAUUAUAAUCUGGUUUUUAAAUGAAAAUGUAAGCAUUCCACCUCAAGAGUAAUGUGGCAACGCAGGAACUGAAAUCACUAGACCGUUUCUGACAACAGCAGUGAAGUAUGUUAUUUAAUUCGAUGAUCCACGAAAAACCUUACCACAAUUUGUAUAAUAUUUUCAAUAUUACAGGAGUUGCACGGCUGUUUUCAGUUAAUGUUGUGAAACUAUGGUUUCCAUGAAAUUAACGAAAUCCCUGGCUUUAUUUUUUGAAUUUUACGAUAGAGCAUUAUAUCCCAGAUAUUAGGAUAAAAAAAGGGGACAAAGACAAGUCAUCAUGGCCUUUAUAUUGUGGGCUAUAGACGUGCCACAUAUUCCUAGACAAAGAGAUGCAAAAAUGUGAAUUUAAGCUAAUCUCAAAAAUAGGAUAUAAUUUUAAGGAUUGUAGUCUGAAAUUCGACUAUAUGAAUAAGUAAUUGCUAGUAAUCGUGAAUCACCAUGUCACGGUGAAUGAUUCUCGGAUUGGUACUAACUACUCGUCACAUGCUGAAAAGAAAUUACGCAAGAAGUUUGCUUUCCUGAGAAAUAGUAAAUAAAACAUGUAGGUUUUGUUAGCUUAAAAGCUGCCUAUUGACAGGAUUCUUCGUAUGCGCAACUCUGAUUAGUGUUAAGUCGAAAUAUGGUUCGUGUAGUGGAAGUUGCACGGGGUUAAUUAAUUUU